Molecule: non-coding RNA, 29 nt
Filed under: Mus musculus (house mouse)
Lineage: Eukaryota; Metazoa; Chordata; Mammalia; Rodentia; Muridae
Source: RNAcentral
UGCCUUUGUGAGCGUUAGAUGAUGCUCGU